Non-coding RNA from Lolium perenne, 1578 nucleotides. Lineage: Eukaryota; Viridiplantae; Streptophyta; Magnoliopsida; Poales; Poaceae. The record is from RefSeq and is a predicted model, not a curated record.
AAAUAUAAUGUGUUUUGUUUUGGUUACAAAUAACUUAAAUAUUUGUAAACUAGUUUUUGAAUCUCACUCUCCUUCCUCAAUAUUCAAAACAGAAUAUAAUCUAUAUUCAAAUGGGUUUCCAAAAUAUAAGAGAAAACCUUCCCUUUCUCUCUGGGCCCUCUCCCUCUGGUUCCUCUCCUUCCCACCGAUCGGCCCAACCCACCUUGCACCAUCUUGGCCCGUACCCCUUCGGUCCCCCUCCAUCUCCUUUUUCCUUUCGUCCUGGACAACGACAACCACGGGAGAAGCACAUGGUGGUGGUCCUCUGCUCCAACCACCACGCCAAGGACUCCGCAUCUCACCUGCUUCCCCCUUUAUCUUCAGCCUCCAGAAACCCUAGCCUCUUCCCUCCCUCGCGCCGCCACCCUCUUCUCCUCCCCUUUUCUUUUCCUCUCUCUGUAACACCACCGCCACUGCCCCGCCAUGGCGGCGCCGCUCCAGACCGUCCCCCGGCAAGCUGAAGUGCCCAGAAGAUGCGCCUCGUCAUCCUCGUUAUCUUCCUCCAAGGAAUUGACCCGGGGCUUGCUAAAUCGAUGGCAAGCUCGCCGAUUCCCCCUGCGGGUUGACACCUUCCUUCUCCAAAUCCGGCGUCACCGUUCCGUCCCUGGCCUUCCGAGCACACACACAGCUUCCAAGUGACCAGGCGCAUCUCCCACAUCCUUCAUCUCGCUUCGGUUCGUCCUCAAACGCUAGAUUCGUGCUCACCUGCAAGUCCCCGCCAUGGCCACGACCUCCGCUUUUAUCUGCUUCAAGUAGUGGCGCGGCCCAAGUUCUUUAGCAUCAACACCAACAGCGUAGUGAUCUGGCGUUGACAGAUGGUUCACCUUACGCAUGAGAUUUUCUUAAUCGUCAAGAGUGGCGCAGCUCAGCUGAUCCGCCAAUGGGCUUCGACCCAGAUCCAUCCUCCAGGCCAGCGUGCCAGGCUGCAUCUCCUCACCGGUCCGGCCCACCAGCACCACCUCGCCCGGCGCGGCAGGUAGCAGCCCAGCACGUCCAUUUUUCCCUCAUCUAUUUUAUUUUUGUUUAUCUCUCUUUUGCAAAAUGGUUUAAUUCAUAUCUUUCAAACCGUUCAUCGAAAUUAAAAGUGUUCUAUAUGAAAAUUGAUCAGAAAAACAUGAGGAACAUGAAUAUGCCAUCCAUUUAUCUGUUUGCAUCACGCAUCAUGUCGCCCGUUGAUAGUUGUGCAUUUCCACCUCACAUAUAUGCGGAGUAUUUUGGAUUUCCAACUAGGAAUUCCCCGCUCCGUUUAAUAUUGAAGUAGCGCACCCUUGCCAUGUUUUGCCAUGCUAAUCAACCCUUAACUUUGUCGAUAGAAAUGCAACUUCAACUCUAAUUGUUUGUCCGGGUUCCGAUCCCGCUUAAUAUGGAUAAGUUGCAUUGCACCAUAUUUGCCAUGCCAUGCAUAUCAUCUUGAUCAUGCUGGAUUUUCUUUAUCCGUAGUAGUAAGACUUGCAUACGUUGUUUGUUCCAGCAUUUGCUUCUUCUCGGAUAGGAUCGCGAAGUGGUGUUGUGAGAUACGACGUGUUCUUCGACAAGUUC